GGGAGCAGGAGGACCACUUACGGAGCAUGCUCUGAGGAAAGUCCCCUCUUCACGUGCAGGCGGCCAGAUGAAUGAUGGGAUCGGAGACGGUCGAAUCUGCUGCAGACACGGACCGACACACAGUCAAUGCUGUGAACCCAUCCGGGGGAGUUCUCUGUGUGGGCGUUGAGACGAGCAGACCCGCUGAAGCGAGCCGAAGCAGUCCCGUAGAGUGGCACGGUGAGGGACGGGUACGGCGCUGAGUUGAAUGUGGUCACCCGGUAACGGGGAACAGAAAGGGGCUUACUCCCUGCACCC
This 297-nucleotide RNase P RNA is filed under the name Methanobacteriota archaeon. RNAcentral describes it as "Euryarchaeota archaeon RNase P RNA component". It matches the Rfam family "Archaeal RNase P". From Rfam's summary of the family: Ribonuclease P (RNase P) is a ubiquitous endoribonuclease, found in archaea, bacteria and eukarya as well as chloroplasts and mitochondria. Its best characterised activity is the generation of mature 5'-ends of tRNAs by cleaving the 5'-leader elements of precursor-tRNAs. Lineage: Archaea; Methanobacteriati; Methanobacteriota. The record is from RNAcentral.